This 162-nucleotide ribosomal RNA is filed under the name Rhizophlyctis rosea. RNAcentral describes it as "5.8S ribosomal RNA". It matches the Rfam family "5.8S ribosomal RNA". Rfam says of the family: 5.8S ribosomal RNA (5.8S rRNA) is a component of the large subunit of the eukaryotic ribosome. It is transcribed by RNA polymerase I as part of the 45S precursor that also contains 18S and 28S rRNA. Lineage: Eukaryota; Fungi; Chytridiomycota; Chytridiomycetes; Rhizophlyctidales; Rhizophlyctidaceae. The record is from RNAcentral.
CAACUUUUGACAACGGAUCUCUUGGCUCUCGCAACGAUGAAGAACGCAGCGAAAUGCGAUAAGUAAUGUGAAUUGCAGAAUUCAGUGAAUCAUCGAAUCUUUGAACGCACAUUGCGCUCCUUGGUAUUCCGGGGAGCACGCCUGUUUGAGAAUCAUUAAAAU